This 499-nucleotide ribosomal RNA is filed under the name uncultured bacterium. RNAcentral describes it as "partial 16S ribosomal RNA". It matches the Rfam family "Bacterial small subunit ribosomal RNA", at positions 29 to 507 of the family's 1533-position model. The record is from RNAcentral.
ACGAACGCUGGCGGCGUGCCUAAUACCUGCCGGUCGAGCGGACUGAUUAAGAGCUUGCUCUUAUGACGUUAGCGGCGGACGGGUGAGUAACACGUGGGCAACCUGCCCUGUAGAUCGGGAUAACACCGAGAAAUCGGUGCUAAUACCGGGUAAUAUCUGAGAUCACAUGAUCUUAGGUUAAAAGAUGGCUCCGGCUAUCACUACAGGAUGGGCCCGCGGCGCAUUAGCUAGUUGGUAAGGUAAUGGCUUACCAAGGCGACGAUGCGUAGCCGACCUGAGAGGGUGAUCGGCCACACUGGGACUGAGACACGGCCCAGACUCCUACGGGAGGCAGCAGUAGGGAAUCUUCCGCAAUGGACGAAAGUCUGACGGAGCAACGCCGCGUGAGUGAUGAAGGGUUUCGGCGCGUAAAGCUCUGUUGUUAGGGAAGAAACAGUACCGAACGAACUAGGUCGGUACCUUGACGGUACCUAACCAGAAAGCCACGGCUAACUACGUG